GGCUUCUUACUCUCAUCCAAAAAACUGUAUGACUCUGUGAUCGAGGCCAUCAGAGUACUUUUUUUUUUCAAGCUGAUUGUCCCACUUUUGAGCCAGGUAGGUGCGACGCUUAUGUCUAUGGCAACGCGCUACAUUGGCAUUCACGAAAGAAAGGAAAAGCCCGUGACAAUUACCGUAUAUAUGUUGCUACAUAGACUUGGAUGCUCUCGUUUUCUUUUCGUCUAGAAGGACGACGUCCUCCAGAACGCAUCUGCCGCGUCGAUGACAUCAUCGCCUUCUCCUUUCGACAUGACGUUGUGCCAUCCGUAUUUGCAUCACAGGUCUAGACGUAAUAUAACAUUUUGAGGUUUUCUGAGCACGGUGUAUGAGUUUGUUCGUGUCCUGUCGUAUAUAAUGGCUCAUUGCAAAAGAAACCUUACGGAAGAACUGAAUGUUAUAGACACGGUUCGGAUUUUGUUCAUUUUUACAGAAAACAGAUGGGCAAAAAAACCGCAAAAUAGUGGUGAGAAUUCGAUGGACAGCCAGCUGGCUGUAACGAGGUGGUCACGCCUAUUUGACGGAUGCGGCCACAUACGCAAUAGAUGCCGGAAUUUCCAAUGAAACUACGUGCAAGGGCGAACGGGUUUUAUUAUUCACACCGCAUUCAACCCAGCUUGAACCGUGCCACAUUCUGACGGUCACAGUAUAGUGACACGAUUCCCACAGGCGCGUGAAUUCCGGACUGUCACCACACACAUGUUCCCACUUGUAAAAAAAACAAAACAAUAAAAAGGAAGAAGCGACUCGUCUGUAUACUCUCGGAAGUUCUUCGGAAUUUGUAUGAAAACGUAUUCACGCUCUAGCGCACGUAUACAAUCACCAUUGACAUUUAGUUCACAAGUAGGUACAUCUGGAACCAAAAUAAUAUGCGGUAGCCAGACGAAAUUUACGCAUGUAAAACGCGGACGUUGAAACCAUCAUAAUGUGGUGGAACUGUGGCAUCGGCAGAUGAUCAUAACGCUAAUUGUAUAAUAACAAACCAUAUUUCUAUAUGACAUGACGUGAUUUUCUCUUUCGCACAGUUCUAUGCUUUUUUUUCCCAGGGUUAUUAUUUAAGACAAAUUACUUGCCCGUCUUUCUAUUUUUAGCAAAUUGCUGUGAACGAACAUCAGUCUAAUUGAAACGAACACAAAGAGAAAAUUGAACUUCCCUUUUUCUUUUUAUGCCGUACAUACUACUUCCCUUUGAAUUGAAUGCCAAUAGCAAAACAAGAUUAUAACCGGUGAAAUUCUACUGUUACGUCAUUUCUUUCGAAUAUUGGGAUUGUUUUUACGUG
Daphnia magna is the source of this 1315-nucleotide long non-coding RNA. RefSeq lists it as uncharacterized. The record is from RefSeq and is a predicted model, not a curated record. NCBI's taxonomy places the organism in Eukaryota, Metazoa, Arthropoda, Branchiopoda, Diplostraca, Daphniidae. The transcript has 3 exons.